Molecule: transfer RNA, 69 nt
Filed under: Macrobrachium rosenbergii (giant freshwater prawn)
Lineage: Eukaryota; Metazoa; Arthropoda; Malacostraca; Decapoda; Palaemonidae
Description: tRNA-Glu
Rfam family: tRNA
About the family: Transfer RNA (tRNA) molecules are approximately 80 nucleotides in length.
Source: RNAcentral
GUUUUUAUAGUGUAAUUAACACACUACAUUUUCAUUGUAGAGCUAAAGGUACAAAUCCUUUUUAAAAUA